AGUGAACGCUGGCGGUAGGCCUAACACAUGCAAGUCGAACGGCAGCACAGUAAGAGCUUGCUCUUACGGGUGGCGAGUGGCGGACGGGUGAGGAAUACAUCGGAAUCUACUUUUUCGUGGGGGAUAACGUAGGGAAACUUACGCUAAUACCGCAUACGACCUACGGGUGAAAGCAGGGGAUCUUCGGACCUUGCGCGAUUGAAUGAGCCGAUGUCGGAUUAGCUAGUUGGCGGGGUAAAGGCCCACCAAGGCGACGAUCCGUAGCUGGUCUGAGAGGAUGAUCAGGCACACUGGAACUGAGACACGGUCCAGAAUCCUACGGGAGGCAGCAGUGGGGAAUAUUGGACAAAGGGCGCAAGCCUGAUCCAGACAUACCGCGUGGGUGAAGAAGGCCUUCGGGUUGUAAAGCCCUUUUGUUGGGAAAGAAAAGCAGCAGGUUAAUAACCCGAUGUUCUGACGGUACCCAAAGAAUAAGCACCGGCUAACUUCGUG
Molecule: ribosomal RNA, 492 nt
Filed under: uncultured bacterium
Lineage: Bacteria
Description: partial 16S ribosomal RNA
Rfam family: Bacterial small subunit ribosomal RNA
Source: RNAcentral